CACACGACUCUCGGCAACGGAUAUUUCGGCUCUCGCAUCGAUGAAGAACGUAGCGAAAUGCGAUACCUGGUGUGAAUUGCAGAAUCCCGCGAACCAUCGAGUCUUUGAACGCAAGUUGCGCCCGAGGCCAUCCGGCCGAGGGCACGCCUGCCUGGGCGUCACGC
This 164-nucleotide ribosomal RNA is filed under the name Rostraria cristata. RNAcentral's name for it is "5.8S ribosomal RNA". It matches the Rfam family "5.8S ribosomal RNA". From Rfam's summary of the family: 5.8S ribosomal RNA (5.8S rRNA) is a component of the large subunit of the eukaryotic ribosome. It is transcribed by RNA polymerase I as part of the 45S precursor that also contains 18S and 28S rRNA. Functionally, it is thought that 5.8S rRNA may be involved in ribosome translocation. The record is from RNAcentral. Lineage: Eukaryota; Viridiplantae; Streptophyta; Magnoliopsida; Poales; Poaceae.